RNAcentral lists this long non-coding RNA (760 nucleotides) under Gallus gallus (chicken). Lineage: Eukaryota; Metazoa; Chordata; Aves; Galliformes; Phasianidae. The record is from RNAcentral.
GUUCAGACGAGAGCAAGAAGGCACUGGAGACUCUUCUUCACUGGCUGUUUCUUUUGGCUCAGUUCUCAGAUCCCCCAGUUCUUUCUUGGCUACUUUGGUUUUAAGCAGCUCUUUGUCCCAGGCAGCCAAAGCCUGCUUUUCUAUCUGCCGUAUUUCUGCUUCCUCUGCAUCCAGGCGGCGUUUCCACUCCAGCAAUUCUUCAGCAUGCUGUCGACGCUGCAUCAGCUUCUGUUCUCGUUUAGUUAGGAACCUGACAGACACAGCAGAAGACAGUCAAAGACCCCCCAAACCAGAUGCUCUAUUGCCACAAUUUCCAGAAUUUGAGCUAUUCCAAUUGUUUUCUAGGGAAAUUGCCACACUAAGUACUGUCUCCCACAUUUCUGACACAUAGAGAACACUUUUUUUUUGCAGUAAAGAAAGUCUACAAGAUAUUGUAAAACUGCUGCUAACAUUCAAGGAAUUUUCAACAUCUUUAAAAGUGCUAAUAAUAUAUUCAGUAAAAGGAACGGGGUCAGCUCCUAAUUUUAGAGCAUGAGAAGUACUUGUGGCAUGAAACUGGAACCCUCAAGAAAGCAGUGACUGAAAAAUGAACCUAUCUUUCUGCUAAUUCCAAUGACAGAGAAAUAUCGUGGCCCCAGAUGCCCCACAGUUCUUUCUAAAUAACUAAUUAGAAGAGGUGUUCCUGUAGUAGUAAUCCACCUGGAAGGUUUACUGGAAUUACUGGAGCUUUUAUCCUUCUUCCUUUGACUAUCAUCUCUGG